UUAUUGCAGCAUGCAUAUCAAGAUGGCCGUCUAGAGGAGGUAGUUCUACGUCAUCUUAGGUCUGAAGAUGGAGAAACUGUGAUAGCUAAAAAUAUUAGGCUGUCAGAGUUCCUUGGUAACAUGCGUAUAAGGUGAACAGAUGCUGUUUUAUAGUCUAGAAUUUGCUUGCUGGAGGGGACCAGAACAUGGAGUGUUGGGCAUGCUAUACUAUUUAUCAAGGUGCAUCUUCUAUCAAAGUAAUAAAAUCGUCAUGCAUUGGAUGGGAAUGUUUGAGAGUUCUCAUCAGCUGUCUAUUUAUGGGAUAAUGAUUUUUAGUAAUGGACAUGCAAAUA
Molecule: long non-coding RNA, 332 nt
Organism: Quercus robur (English oak)
Lineage: Eukaryota; Viridiplantae; Streptophyta; Magnoliopsida; Fagales; Fagaceae
Exons: 3
Source: RefSeq, a predicted model, not a curated record